This 219-nucleotide ribosomal RNA is filed under the name uncultured bacterium. Its description in RNAcentral is "partial 16S ribosomal RNA". It matches the Rfam family "Bacterial small subunit ribosomal RNA", at positions 123 to 334 of the family's 1533-position model. The record is from RNAcentral.
AAUCUACCCUUUGGUGGGGAACAACACGCUGAAAGGCGUGCUAAUACCGCAUAAUCUCCUUCAACUUCGCAAGAGGAAGAGGGAGGAAAGCCUUUCGGGGCGCCAGAAGAUGAGCCUGCGGCUGAUUAGCUAGUUGGUGGGGUAAAAGCCUACCAAGGCAUUGAUCAGUAGCUGGUCUGAGAGGACAGCCAGCCACACUGGGACUGCGAUACGGCCCAG